GAUGAUUUCCUCUUCUGGACCUGUGAUUGCAGAGACUGAUGAUAAUGCUGCUAUGUUUGUCUGGGGUAAAUCCAACAAUCAGCUUGCCCAGAACAAGCCAGAGCCAUCUACCGCCAUCAGUUUAUCCGAUGGACUUCGGGCACCACGGACUCUUCCAUGGAAACUCUGAUGUCACCUCUGGAUGGACUUCACCGGCUAAUAUUACUUAUUUAAUACUUUGAGCCCUGUGUGAAUUCUAGCCCAACUUGUUUAAAGUCUACUUAUAUUUUAAAGCUUUUAAUUUUAAAGUAUUGUGAAGUUUCCCUUUUCCUAUUUUCUACAAGUUAAUAUCCCGUCUAUAACCGGCUAUGGUCCAUGUGUAGAGACGCUCCUUAUUAAACCAGAGAAUAGAGUGUCAUAUUUCAAAGGAGAAACCAUCAGUGCCAUUCUUUCUGGACUAUUUGCUUUAAACUUUCUUUGCAUUU
Long non-coding RNA from Sinocyclocheilus rhinocerous, 464 nucleotides. RefSeq lists it as uncharacterized. The record is from RefSeq and is a predicted model, not a curated record. The transcript has 3 exons. NCBI's taxonomy places the organism in Eukaryota, Metazoa, Chordata, Actinopteri, Cypriniformes, Cyprinidae.